RNAcentral lists this long non-coding RNA (3698 nucleotides) under Sorghum bicolor (sorghum). Its description in RNAcentral is "long non-coding RNA (SBIC_LNC012303)". Lineage: Eukaryota; Viridiplantae; Streptophyta; Magnoliopsida; Poales; Poaceae. The record is from RNAcentral.
GAUUGGUUACUGAACUAAAAACUGCUUGAGUAGACAUUGGUAUCUCUUGUCGGACUAACCCCUCCAGGAAAACUUUCAAUAUCAACCUAGGAAGUCCUGAGAUACAAACUCAGAUUGGAGACAAAGGAGACACAUGAUGUUUAACGAUUUGCACAAGGAAGACAUAGCUCAUUCAUCAUAAAGAGAUGAUCCAUGGAACAAGACAAAGAGUGCCACAAACACGGUGCACAACCGCUAAGAAAGGAAAGAUUCCACAAGGUGAUACUGUACCAUCACUCUUCAAGUAAGGUAACAUCUUAAGGUACUUGACUAUCACUAUUAUAAGCUUCUCCUUGGUUCUGGCGUUCACAUGAAUAAAGAGGCAAACAUAAAUUAACCAACCCAAUUAAUUCAACAUGUUUAGUUCUUUAAUCUUUGUUCUUAGUACUACCUUCGUGAUCCCACAUUCCUAAUCAUAUAAGCUAAAAUGUUGCACAUUCAAUCUUUGGAAGGUAUAAAAAAACAUAAAUAUAGAUAGAUUAUCUUUCCAUUAGGUCGAGCAAUCUGAUCUAACAAAUGUUUUAAAUACUACUCAUGAUCUUAUUAUCCAUCAACUUUGUCUUGCUCACUAUGCUUAAGGUUAGAGAAGAACAAAUACACUUUUGGUUCUGUUGGUGUUUUUCACCAACAGGGCCCAUGCACUUGAUCUCUGCCUUGUCUCUAUGAGCAGGUACACUUCGAGCAAAACCUGAAGGAGUUUUACAACUCCUAGAUUCCACCAAGUGAAGGACUUGGAUCUAUGAGCACAAACACAGUGAGGAGGAUGCUGCCAAUGCUGCACCUCGAACUGCUGGACAAACAAAGAACAUUGGUGACACCGUAUCAAGAGGUGCAGAUGUCAAGGCCUACACCUAAUCAGAUGAUGCACCUAAAGGAUGAACACGGUGAGUAGUCUUAUCCAGAAGACUUAAAACAUUGGAUCCUUGCUGGAAGGUAAAAUCGGUAUUUAUCCAUAUUUAUCUUUUCUGCAUUCCUUUUCCUUUUUUAUUCCAUCACUUGCAAUAGCAUAUUUACUUUUCCACAUUAGCAUUAGAAAAGAAAACAAAAAUAUUUGUUCAUUGCACUGCAUCAUAAAAUCUAAAGCACCAUGUGAGUAGACUUGUGGUUUAAAACCCAUAGGUAUAUUGACUGUGGUGGCAUAAAAUAAAUAUGUUUUCAUCUUACAGAUAUAAAAAUAGAAAGUGCAUGAUCCUGCUAAAUAAAUAAAAUUUAUUCGGAGGAAUCUCAAUAUGAUAAAGGCUAAGAGAUUUUAUGCUAACACUUAACUAGUUUCACAAAGCUUUGUUGUCUAUUUGAGCUCCACAGAAUUCAAGGAUCAAAGAAGACUAGCCGGCAGAGGACAUAGUAAUCGCUGUCACGGUGCUGCCGACAUUCAAAUACACCUCCGUCACCUUCUAGCUAUAUCAGAAGAAAUUACGUCAAAAUCCAGCUUGGGGAGAGCACCCCCAUUUAUCCAGCAAAGUGUUUCUACUCGCGUUUAUACUUUACUCAAAUAAUAAAAAGAUGCAUAAUCAUGAAAACCCAAAUAAAAAUUUUGUGCUUAUAUAUAUAUUUGCAUAGUUUGCUAAAUAAAUAAAUAAAGUGUCUAGGCCAAACUGAACUUAAAUGAUAAACUCUUACAUGGAUAUGAUAAUAGUUGCUCUGUCAUGUACCUAGUUUUCAAGUUUGAACUCUCUCUCAAGUUUAGGUAUAAUUGUUAUAAUUUAAACGAAAGAGUACUUGAUCUAAAGUCUAAGUCGUUAACGGAUAUGAUAUGGGAAGGUUGAGCAGUUGUUUAUUUGUUCCUAAAAAUGCUAGAAUUCUGGAGAACUUUAUCUUUGAAAAUCUUCAAAAUAUUGCAUGAUGAGUUCCUGUAUGAUGAGAGUUUAAAAUCCUACCACAGCCAUAUAUACAUGCUUAUUAGACUAUGAACCAUAUAUUUACUUUUUACUGCUUAUAAGCAUUGAGUGUGGUCAAGCUGUGUAGACCCUUAGGAGCUUGUCAUGCGGUUAAAAUCAAGAUUCACUUGCACGUUCACUCACACAUGCUGCUUCUACUCCAAAAGUACGCAUCCACAUAUAUCCACUCAUUUCCAUCUCCAGAGCCACCCAAAAGUAUUCUACUCCUAAUCCGGGAGAGAAUAGCCAAAAACAUUCUCCUAUUCCUGUUUUUCCCUAUGAAAUAAAUGCUCGAGUUAUCUUGGUUAGUACCACUUGCUAUAUUAUUUUAGGAGAUGAGUGCUCUAAAAAAAGAAAAAAAAAGAAAGAGAAAGGAUACGAGGAAAUAAAAAGGGGCAAGUGCUCGGAACCUCGAAAGAAAAGAAAAAGUGAGACGAGAGGUAAAAAUGGACAAGUGUCCGACAGUAGAAUUAGGGGUAUAAGAUACCCACCUGAGAGGAAAGAAAAAGAAAAUGUAGAGCAUCUCAUUCUCCUCAAAAAGUUUCAAAAGAGCAAGAAAGGUAUGUAUCCCCUAAAAAGAGCAAAAAGUACAAUUAGACUUUCACCAUUGUUAUCACCAUCAUCACCAUACACCGUUCACUCGCCACACAUGCAUAUCUUGAUUUGACUUAUUGACUUGUUCUUCUGGAUCCAUGGCCUGACUAUGCAAUAAAUGUCUUCUAAGUAUGUAUUAUCAGUCUCCCACCUAUGAGCUCUAGAUAUCAAAACCUUAUUAGAGUAGUCUGAGAGAGAAGGCAAUAUCACUAUGCCUCAUACCAAAAAUAACACAUACUUUGAGAGAAGGCAUACACCAUUACUGCCUUGGAAAGGAUCCAUAAAUACCACAAAAGAGAGAUUUGAGAGAGUCAUACAAGGAAUCUGUGAGUUUUAUUUGAAAAUCUGCAAAAACUCUAGAGCUAUAGUUCAUCAAAGAACAAGAGACAUGGCGCUUGACUUGACCGUUCUAUGUUUUAACUGCUCAAGACACAAGUGACGGUUGCAAGCCCCAUGGUGAAAGGUAAAAUGAGUAAGUUUUAAAUCUUAACAGUUUACUCUAACUCAGAGAUGAGUUCUUGCUUGAACGCAUGUGUACUUUUAAGGCAUGAAACCACUGUAGAAACUCUUGAGUCCAUCCUUGCUCUGCGACGAGCAAGAGGUAAGCUUGGGGAAGUUGUUGACGGUCCUUAAGUACCAAAUAUAAUCAUCAAAUAAAUAAAGAAAAGGUCCAAAUGCAACCAACACCUAGACUUUGGGUUUUAUCUGACAGAAUUCCAUGAGUUUUGGUGUUUGUCUAUUUUUGCAGGGGGUUAUCAGGAAAUAUGGAGGAAAGGCCCACACGUCGGGUUUAGAAAGAUAUAUUAACGUGUCGUGCAAUUUUAUAUCAUCUAGAAGACUCUAGAAGCCACGGGAACGAAUGGGAGGCCGAGCGGGCCCGGGGGUAGAGCGCCUGCCCUACUAUAGAGAUCAAUCAGGUCCCGUCUCGCGGAUUAUGCUCCACCGACCUACAGGAUUAAGGAAAACUGUGCGAUUAAUGUCGGUUUGAUCCGACGUCCCACGUUACUUGAGGGGACUAUAUAAGCUGCCCCCCUGGCCCCUGGAGGAGGGCCAUCCCAUUAUUGAUUAGCAUAUUUUCUAGAGAGGAUUCAGAGAGAGAGAUCUCUCUAGGGAUCCAACCUCAUAGGGCUUAGCAUCCAAUGUGAGAGUAGAAUUAGUUCUACUAGAUUGAGAGAGAUAGAGUGGAGG